AAAGAAAAAACACAUACACAGUUGGUCCAACUACCAAAGGAAGAAGAAAGAAGAAAUUUCAACUGCUCACAAUUCAACUGAGGCAACAUCUAAAGAAGAAAAUGUUCAGUUCAGUUUUUUGGCUGGGACCUGGCUGGGAAUCCACAAUCCUGACUCCCAUUCAUCCGUCUCUGACAUCAGAACUUUGCUGGAUAAAAACAGUUUUGAAGUAAGCGGCAUGGGGAGAUUUUAUUUUCCCGCCCACUGUAGCAGGCAUGGGGAAUCUGUUGGUGAAACGGUGAAACCAGAAAGCUCAUUAUGAUACUGGGCAGCCUUGAUCAGUCAUUACAGAUAUCAUUUUGGAAA
Lates calcarifer (barramundi perch) is the source of this 345-nucleotide long non-coding RNA. RefSeq lists it as uncharacterized. The transcript has 2 exons. Lineage: Eukaryota; Metazoa; Chordata; Actinopteri; Centropomidae. The record is from RefSeq and is a predicted model, not a curated record.